Rhodamnia argentea is the source of this 268-nucleotide long non-coding RNA. RefSeq lists it as uncharacterized. The transcript has 2 exons. The record is from RefSeq and is a predicted model, not a curated record. NCBI's taxonomy places the organism in Eukaryota, Viridiplantae, Streptophyta, Magnoliopsida, Myrtales, Myrtaceae.
AAAAGAUAAAUACAAGACGAGGGAUGUCACAACUCGACUAAAAGGAGAGGGAAGGGAAUUUUCAAGUGAAGCACUUACAACUUCAACCCUUUUUUUUCUGAAGUUGGAUGGUUCCAACAACAGGUAAAACAACAAAACAGCAAAGAGGAACAAGAACAGGCAUGGAGACACAAAAUAAUGGAACUAAAUAAUGGAAAUCAACAGCUUAAUAGGAAGAAGUCAACUCAAAAAUAGAAUAGACCCCCUCUCCAUCAGUUGUGCCACAAAG